UACGUAGGUGGCAAGCGUUGUCCGGAUUUAUUGGGUUUAAAGGGUGCGUAGGCGGUCCUAUAAGUCAGUGCUGAAAUAUCCCGGCUUAACCGGGAGGGUGGCAUUGAUACUGCAGGACUUGAGUAAAGUUGAGGUUGGCGGAAUUGACGGUGUAGCGGUGAAAUGCUUAGAUAUCGUCAAGAACACCGAUAGUGAAGACAGCUAACUAAGCUUUAACUGACGCUGAGGCACGAAAGUGUGGGGAUCAAACAGGAUUAGAAACCCCUGUAGUCC
This 273-nucleotide ribosomal RNA is filed under the name uncultured bacterium. RNAcentral's name for it is "partial 16S ribosomal RNA". It matches the Rfam family "Bacterial small subunit ribosomal RNA", at positions 524 to 796 of the family's 1533-position model. The record is from RNAcentral.